GCGGAUACGCGCGGAGGCAACGGCGACGGCGGCGGCGGCGGCGGGCGCGGGGACAGUUGCAUCGGGGCCGGGCCGGGCUAGCAGGAGCUGGGCGCCUGCAGCGUGGACCCCGUGGACACUCGGCUCGCAGCCGGCCUGCGGCGCUCGGGGACUUGCCUGGCUCCCUUCUCGGGGUUCCCGCGCCCUUCUCCGCCCAGGGCAGCAGCGCGCGGGGCCCCCGGGAGCCGAAGAGCAGGCGGGAACUGGCGGCGGCGCGGGAGGCGCAGGGAGCGGAGGCGGCAGCAGCGGCU
RNAcentral lists this long non-coding RNA (290 nucleotides) under Homo sapiens (human). RNAcentral describes it as "HSALNT0402458". The record is from RNAcentral. Lineage: Eukaryota; Metazoa; Chordata; Mammalia; Primates; Hominidae.